GGGUUUAUAACGUAGUGGUAAAGCACUUGAUCUUAAAUUAAGAAGUCACUAGUUCAAACUUGGUUAAGUCCU
RNAcentral lists this transfer RNA (72 nucleotides) under Ipomoea nil (Japanese morning glory). It matches the Rfam family "tRNA". From Rfam's summary of the family: Transfer RNA (tRNA) molecules are approximately 80 nucleotides in length. Their secondary structure includes four short double-helical elements and three loops (D, anti-codon, and T loops). Lineage: Eukaryota; Viridiplantae; Streptophyta; Magnoliopsida; Solanales; Convolvulaceae. The record is from Rfam by way of RNAcentral.